RNAcentral lists this ribosomal RNA (563 nucleotides) under Lactiplantibacillus plantarum. RNAcentral's name for it is "bacterial SSU rRNA". It matches the Rfam family "Bacterial small subunit ribosomal RNA", at positions 68 to 606 of the family's 1533-position model. Lineage: Bacteria; Bacillati; Bacillota; Bacilli; Lactobacillales; Lactobacillaceae. The record is from RNAcentral.
UAUUGAUUGGUGCUUGCAUCAUGAUUUACAUUUGAGUGAGUGGCGAACUGGUGAGUAACACGUGGGAAACCUGCCCAGAAGCGGGGGAUAACACCUGGAAACAGAUGCUAAUACCGCAUAACAACUUGGACCGCAGGUCCGAGUUUGAAAGAUGGCUUCGGCUAUCACUUUUGGAUGGUCCCGCGGCGUAUUAGCUAGAUGGUGGGGUAACGGCUCACCAUGGCAAUGAUACGUAGCCGACCUGAGAGGGUAAUCGGCCACAUUGGGACUGAGACACGGCCCAAACUCCUACGGGAGGCAGCAGUAGGGAAUCUUCCACAAUGGACGAAAGUCUGAUGGAGCAACGCCGCGUGAGUGAAGAAGGGUUUCGGCUCGUAAAACUCUGUUGUUAAAGAAGAACAUAUCUGAGAGUAACUGUUCAGGUAUUGACGGUAUUUAACCAGAAAGCCACGGCUAACUACGUGCCAGCAGCCGCGGUAAUACGUAGGUGGCAAGCGUUGUCCGGAUUUAUUGGGCGUAAAGCGAGCGCAGGCGGUUUUUUAAGUCUGAUGUGAAAGCCUUCG